GUAGGCAAAGGAGGGCUACUCAGUGUUUGUGUCAGGGCCGCUGCUGAGCACUGUGGACCCACAGGGAGGAUGAGCAGAGCAGGUCGGUGCUGUGGUCCCUCCUGGCCAGGACACGGAAGCUUCUGGCUCUGAAUUUAAACCCGAAGACAGUCGAGAUCUCAAUGACAGCCAGAGGCUCAGAGGUGGGUCUGUCAGUGCUGGAAGAAAGACGCAGUAAAUAGUUUGCAUGCUGCAGCGUCGUGCUUAAGAAAGGCUUGAGGAGAUCUGCGGAUGAGAAUCUGUUUGCUUUCCUCUAAACGAGGGCAAAUGCAGCAAGUGCAUCAAAGUUUACCCACCAUGGAGCUCCACCUGUGGCAAUUGCUUCCUAAUAUCCAGCCUACACCUCUCCUGGUGCAGCGUGCAUUGGGUAUCCCUGCUCCUGACCCACGCUCACUGUGCUCCUGGCAUUGACCCUCUCAUCCGAGUGCCAGUGGGAAUGGGACACUUGGUGACACGGUUGUGGCAUGUCAAACACAGCUCAGCUCUGGUAGCUUCUCCCACCUUUGACUAAUUGCUGACCUGACAUCUUUCUGAUAGUGACCUUGUUUCAGCGAGUAAUUCAAGUAUCUUUCAGUGUCAGAAAUAAUAAGUGCCACAGUGAGAUGAACAAGCAGAGCUUAAGUUGAGCACAGAUUAAUGGGGUUUUAAUAUUCCUAAUUUAAUCACUCCUUUCUGUCUGAAUGUGUGCAACAUGAUGUAGCAGCUAAUUAUUUUUUUAACCAUGAUGAGGAUCUUUCCUAAUCAUUUUUAUAUUUAACAUGAAUGAAGGGAGGGCAGUGAUUAAUGAGGGAAUAAAUCUCACGAAACAGAAGCAAGCACAUGAUCAGUUAAAAAUACAGCUGUCUGUUUUUUUUCCCCCUCCUCCUUUCCCUGCACAGCACACAGUUCACCAGCUGCACCUUCCCAGCUCAAUAGCUGUCCUCAGCCCUUUGCCCAUCCCUGGGUGGCUCUGCUGGCAUCCCCGUGUGUGAACAUCUCUGUUCAACUCAGUGUUAUUUUUCUUUUGUAAAG
Molecule: long non-coding RNA, 1050 nt
Filed under: Gallus gallus (chicken)
Lineage: Eukaryota; Metazoa; Chordata; Aves; Galliformes; Phasianidae
Description: lncRNA (ENSGALG00010030065.1)
Source: RNAcentral